This 413-nucleotide ribosomal RNA is filed under the name uncultured eukaryote. RNAcentral's name for it is "bacterial SSU rRNA". It matches the Rfam family "Eukaryotic small subunit ribosomal RNA", at positions 592 to 1013 of the family's 1831-position model. The record is from RNAcentral.
CAAUAGCGUAUAUUAAAGUUGUUGCAGUUAAAAGCUCGUAGUUGGAUGUCUGGCUCUGUGUUGCGGUCCACCGCAAGGUGAGCACUGCGAUGUGGGGUCUUCCUCUUGAAUGCUGCGUGUGCUCUUAGUUGAGUGUGCGUGGGGUUUGGGAUCUUUACUUUGAAAAAUUAGAGUGUUCAAAGCAGGCGAUUGCUUGAAUAUAUUAGCAUGGAAUAAUGGAAUAGGACUUGGGUUCUAUUUUGUUGGUUUCUAGGACCGAGGUAAUGAUUAAGAGGGACAAUUGGGGGCGAUCCGUAUUUCGUUGUCAGAGGUGAAAUUCUUGGAUUUACGAAAGACGAACAACUGCGAAAGCACUUGCCAAGAGUGUUUUCAUUAAUCAAGAACGAAAGUUAGAGGAUCGAAGACGAUCAGAU